AUGAACGCUGGCGGCGUGCCUAAUACAUGCAAGUCGCGCGAACAGACGAGGAGCUUGCUCCUCUGACGUUAGCGGCGGGCGGGUGAGUAACACGUGGAUAACCUACCUAUAAGACUGGGAUAACUUCGGGAAACCGGAGCUAAUACCGGAUAAUAUAUUGAACCGCAUGGUUCAAUAGUGAAAGACGGUUUUGCUGUCACUUAUAGAUGGAUCCGCGCCGCAUUAGCUAGUUGGUAAGGUAACGGCUUACCAAGGCAACGAUGCGUAGCCGACCUGAGAGGGUGAUCGGCCACACUGGAACUGAGACACGGUCCAGACUCCUACGGGAGGCAGCAGUAGGGAAUCUUCCGCAAUGGGCGAAAGCCUGACGGAGCAACGCCGCGUGAGUGAUGAAGGUCUUCGGAUCGUAAAACUCUGUUAUUAGGGAAGAACAAAUGUGUAAGUAACUAUGCACGUCUUGACGGUACCUAAUCAGAAAGCCACGGCUAACUACGUG
This 496-nucleotide ribosomal RNA is filed under the name uncultured bacterium. Its description in RNAcentral is "partial 16S ribosomal RNA". It matches the Rfam family "Bacterial small subunit ribosomal RNA", at positions 29 to 507 of the family's 1533-position model. The record is from RNAcentral.